ACAGGGAGAAGAAGAGCUGUGCCCUGCAAUCCUGCCACUCCUGUGCUAUCUUCUGUCCAUCAGCCUUUCCCGAGAAGACAGAGAGCCUGGGUCAGGAACCUCUGGGAUAGACAUGUGCUUAGAAGAGAAGAAAAGGAAGCCUGACUACAAACUGGCUGCAGAUGAGCCCACAGCUGCCCUUGGAGGCCUUUGGAAGGAAGUCCUAUGUUCCCUGUACCCAACAGGCCUCUCUGCACCAAAAUGCAAAGAAAAAGAACAAGGAGAAGAAAAAGUAAGGCAUUGAUCACAAGCAGACAGAUUGGUAACUAG
Molecule: long non-coding RNA, 309 nt
Organism: Urocitellus parryii (Arctic ground squirrel)
Lineage: Eukaryota; Metazoa; Chordata; Mammalia; Rodentia; Sciuridae
Source: RefSeq, a predicted model, not a curated record